UGGUUUCCAAAGAGUAUUAGACUCAGCUGU
RNAcentral lists this non-coding RNA (30 nucleotides) under Macaca fascicularis (crab-eating macaque). Lineage: Eukaryota; Metazoa; Chordata; Mammalia; Primates; Cercopithecidae. RNAcentral also lists the same sequence under 1 other name. The record is from RNAcentral.